Long non-coding RNA from Paramormyrops kingsleyae, 362 nucleotides. RefSeq lists it as uncharacterized. Lineage: Eukaryota; Metazoa; Chordata; Actinopteri; Osteoglossiformes; Mormyridae. The record is from RefSeq and is a predicted model, not a curated record.
GCUGUUAAGCAAAGACCUUGGGUUCUGCAGGAAUUUUUACUCCGAGCCCCAGAUUUGAUGUGGCAGAAUUUUAAUGAGAAUAAACACUCAUAUAAACAGAUCUUCCAUAGCUGCUUGUCCUGUGCAGGGUGAUGGGGUUCUGCAGCCAAUCCUGGAAGGUAUAAUUCUGGCCUCAGAUCUGGGGGUGCAUUCCUGACCUAAGGUCCAGUGCUUAUCAUGUUCAUCGUGUUAUAGAGGAUACUGAUCUGAUCCUGCCCCAUAUCAUUUACACUCUCAGGACAGAUGGCAGUGGAAUGCGCGCAGCUGAGCACACUUCAUCUGUAGCGAAUACAUGGAGAACUGGCUCACCCCUUAGUAUAUCC